GUGUCGGACGGACGCUGCAGAACAAUAUCGUCUGCUUCUCCACAUUCCUCCUGCUCAUCGUCACGGCGACGCUGCCGCCACAGCUACAGCCAGCGAACAGUGACACUACUCAUUAGUGUGUGUGUGUGUGUGUGUUCUGCUCUGUUGGUUUAAGCAUUAGCAGAGCUCUCAGCUGAGCUAUUCUCAUGUUAAUUCAGGAGUUGAGUGUUUAUUGUUGCUGCUCUGCUCUAAUGUUUGCUCUGCACAUAAACACAGAGUUUUUAUUACCAGCUGAAGUUCACUUGUCAAGACUCAUCUCAUUUAAACAGCUAUUCUUCUUCAGGACAGAGGAGCCGUGAGGCGGCGACACAAACUCCACAUCACUCAACCACAACUGUUCAUCUACUGAAUCUGUUCAGAGUUGUGGCUUCAACAAACCGAUGCUGUUACUGUUGUCUAAAGGUUUUUGUGUCCUGCACAGACAGACAGUUGCAGAUCCUCAGAGAGAGAGAAAGACUGCGGAGAGAGUGACAAAGCAAAGGUAUGAGGAAGGAAAACUCUCCUCCCUCUCUGUCACGACUUGGUCGGUUCACGAGGGUCAAAUGGACCGAGUCCAAGUUUUGGGUGAAGAAAGAAGAUGAAAGAAGAAGAAGAAGAAGAAGCGAGAGAAGGAAACGGAAAGUUUUUUUGUUUCCGCGGCGCUGCUGUGAUGUAAAUGUCCUUAUUUAGUAAUUUAUAAACGAGGGAAUUGAGCACAACACUGUGGAGAUUCAUCAACUAUUGAUGUGUCUAAUCUUUCAGAUCCUGCCAACAUGAUGAUGAUGAUGAUCUGUGUUACACACACACACACACACACACACACACACACACACACACACACACACACACACACACACGCACAGCUUCUCUCUCCGUCGUCACUUUCACUCAGAAAUAUUGUAAAUUGUCUGGAUGUGAAUGUGUAACGUGGUUGUCGUACUUUGGGAGUUUGAGUGUUUGAGAGAAAGUUUGUCUUUGUCAAAGCUGCUGAUAUAAACACAUGUCAUGUUUGUUGUUUAAAGAAAAAAAGAAAACUAAUAAAACCUCAGUCUGAACUGAAAACUCUUAUUAAACGCCAUAUUUCACACUUUUAUUCCGUGUCAUAAGAGCACAGGAGGGAAAAAAGAUGAUAGUUCUAAA
Molecule: long non-coding RNA, 1158 nt
Organism: Solea solea (common sole)
Lineage: Eukaryota; Metazoa; Chordata; Actinopteri; Pleuronectiformes; Soleidae
Exons: 4
Source: RefSeq, a predicted model, not a curated record